UACAGAGGUCCCAAGCGUUGUUCGGAUUCACUGGGCGUAAAGGGUGCGUAGGCGGUCGGGUAAGUCUGAUGUGAAAUCUCCAAGCCUAACUUGGAAACUGCAUUGGAUACUAUCCGGCUAGAGGAAUGGAGGGGAGACUGGAAUACUUGGUGUAGCAGUGAAAUGCGUAGAUAUCAAAGUGGAACACCAGUGGCGAAGGCGAGUCUCUGGACAUUUCCUGACGCUGAGGCACGAAAGCCAGGGGAGCAAACGGG
This 254-nucleotide ribosomal RNA is filed under the name uncultured bacterium. RNAcentral's name for it is "partial 16S ribosomal RNA". It matches the Rfam family "Bacterial small subunit ribosomal RNA", at positions 524 to 776 of the family's 1533-position model. The record is from RNAcentral.